Molecule: ribosomal RNA, 500 nt
Filed under: uncultured bacterium
Lineage: Bacteria
Description: partial 16S ribosomal RNA
Rfam family: Bacterial small subunit ribosomal RNA
Source: RNAcentral
GUUGAACGCUGGCGGCAUGCUUUACACAUGCAAGUCGAACGGCAGCGCGGGCUUCGGCCUGGCGGCGAGUGGCGAACGGGUGAGUAAUAUAUCGGAACGUACCCAAGAGUGGGGGAUAACGUAGCGAAAGUUACGCUAAUACCGCAUACGAUCUAAGGAUGAAAGCAGGGGAUCGCAAGACCUUGUACUCCUGGCGCGGCCGAUAUCUGAUUAGCUAGUUGGUGGGGUAAAGGCCCACCAAGGCAACGCUCAGUAGCUGGUCUGAGAGGACGACCAGCCACACUGGAACUGAGACACGGUCCAGACUCCUACGGGAGGCAGCAGUGGGGAAUUUUGGACAAUGGGGGCAACCCUGAUCCAGCAAUGCCGCGUGAGUGAAGAAGGCCUUCGGGUUGUAAAGCUCUUUUGUCAGGGAAGAAAAGGUCGUGGCUAAUAUCCACGGCUGCUGACGGUACCUGAAGAAUAAGCACCGGCUAACUACGUGCCAGCCGCCGCCGUAA